GGGGCUGAUUUGGUUUAGACAGCAGGAUAAAUUGGUAGACAAGCAUGCCGGGCUUUGAGAUUUGGCCCGUUAAUACUAAUUCUCACACUUUUAUUUGGCGAUACUAAUUAUUCACUCGCUGCUUAAUAACGCUAAGCGUUGUCUAGCUUAAUCCCGGUUUAGAAUCGGGACGAGACAUUCCGCAACGUUGCCUGUUCUGUUAGGCGUUGAGUUCGGAAUGGCCGCAUAACGGGACUAGUUCGGGUGAAGCUUUGGCACCCGGGCGAAAUUAAGAAGCUAAGGUUAAAGCUGGUUGUUUUGCACCUGGUUUUUCUCGAAAACUCAAGCAAAACUAAGCAUGUAGAAAUUCUAUGGGUUUCCUGUUUGGACGAGGGUUCGAGUCCCUCCAGCUCCACUU
Molecule: transfer-messenger RNA, 397 nt
Filed under: Bacteroidales
Lineage: Bacteria; Pseudomonadati; Bacteroidota; Bacteroidia
Also listed under: 1 other name
Description: JAGLSB01 sp023135955 Standard tmRNA
Rfam family: transfer-messenger RNA
About the family: Bacterial tmRNA, also known as 10Sa RNA or SsrA, is named for its dual tRNA and mRNA-like properties. Its role is to liberate the mRNA from a stalled ribosome. To accomplish this part of the tmRNA is used as a reading frame that ends in a translation stop signal.
Source: RNAcentral